This 260-nucleotide transfer-messenger RNA is filed under the name Leclercia adecarboxylata. RNAcentral describes it as "partial transfer-messenger RNA". It matches the Rfam family "transfer-messenger RNA", at positions 110 to 374 of the family's 374-position model. Rfam says of the family: Bacterial tmRNA, also known as 10Sa RNA or SsrA, is named for its dual tRNA and mRNA-like properties. Its role is to liberate the mRNA from a stalled ribosome. Lineage: Bacteria; Pseudomonadati; Pseudomonadota; Gammaproteobacteria; Enterobacterales; Enterobacteriaceae. The record is from RNAcentral.
CUACGCUUUAGCAGCUUAAUAACCUGCUAAGAGCCCUCUCUCCCUAGCUUCCGCUCUUAAGACGGGGAUCAAAGAGAGGUCAAACCCAAAAGAGAUCGCAUGGAUGUCCUGCCUGGGGCUGAAGUGUUAAAUCUAAUCAGGCUAGUUCGUUAGUGGCGUGUCUGUCCGCAGCUGGCGUGCGAAUGUAAAGACUGACUAAGCAUGUAGUACCGAGGAUGUAGAAAUUUCGGACGCGGGUUCAACUCCCGCCAGCUCCACCA